GACAAGAACACGGACACUUCCCAGGUACCAGCGUGGAUGUGACACGUCCUAGGGGGUGGUCCCAAAACGGCACUCUAUUCCCCGCCAAGUGAACAGCUUGCCAGGAUCUCCGGACAGAGUUAUUGAACUUUGCAGGUAAUAGGAUGCCAUUUCGGGGAUAUACCGGAACUAGAAAAUAUGUUGGUGGGACGAUGCGGUUGGAUGUUCAACUGUUACCACGCGAUGUUGUUGAGAAUGAGCCUUGGACUCACAGCUGAGUUGGCCCUACAGCAACUGAAAGAUAAAACACCUCUACAAUCAUGGCGGAAGUAUCUCUCCCUGGGUUUCCUUCAGCCUUGAGCACCAAGAGAAAGAGUCAAAGAGAGAAAGAAAAUAAGAAAGUAAAAGAGAGCAAAUAAAAG
Long non-coding RNA from Esox lucius (northern pike), 401 nucleotides. RefSeq lists it as uncharacterized. The transcript is spliced from 3 exons. Lineage: Eukaryota; Metazoa; Chordata; Actinopteri; Esociformes; Esocidae. The record is from RefSeq and is a predicted model, not a curated record.